GCCCUCGUAGCUCAGUGGAUAGAGCAACUGCCUCCGGAGCAGUGUGUCGCAGGUUCGACUCCUGUCGAGGGCGCCA
This 76-nucleotide transfer RNA is filed under the name Phoenicibacter congonensis. RNAcentral describes it as "tRNA-Arg". It matches the Rfam family "tRNA". From Rfam's summary of the family: Transfer RNA (tRNA) molecules are approximately 80 nucleotides in length. Their secondary structure includes four short double-helical elements and three loops (D, anti-codon, and T loops). The record is from RNAcentral. Lineage: Bacteria; Bacillati; Actinomycetota; Coriobacteriia; Eggerthellales; Eggerthellaceae.